CAAAUGAACCCAGGCCCGCCAUUGCUCACUGGUCUCUAUGAAAGCCCCAAGAAAAUUUCGCCCAAUCGAAAUUGUGACUGAGCCAUAGCUGCAACCAUCAAAGCCAUUUCCGGCCACAACGAUUUUCGAUUCUCAGUCCUGACACUGCUCUCUCGCUUACGAGCUUCUCUAGCACACGAUCCAUUCCUGCAUUCUCUCCUAUUCUCUUGUUUGUUCAAUAUGUUAAUUGGUGAUUUGAAGUUCAAUUCCUGCUCUGCUUCAACUCACUCUCCAUCUUCCGCUCCACACUCAAGAAAAGAGGCUUCUGUGUUCAAGGACGUAAGAUAAGUGAUGUAGGGAAAAUAGAUAUUUGAAGGUUUCAAUGAAGAGCUAUAUCCAUGAUCAAGUCCUAGAAGCACUAUCUGUGGCAGAUGAAUGAAGUGAGGUAUGUUCUUUAGUGUUUAGACAAAGCUUAGUUUUGCUUAGCAACCAACCGUAUAUUGAUUUGCAUUUCUAGUCAUGCCUUUGACAGAAUUUAUAUGCACUGAGAGCAACUAACAUCUCACUAACCUAUCUGGUCUCUCUAUUUGAAAAAGUAAGAAAUGAGAACACAAUGCAUACAUUUUCUUGAGGAAUUACCGUUAGCGGCUUUGGAAUUUCUCUUUGACCCUCUCUGUCUAUGUUUUCCUUACCUCAAUUGUUGAAAUUUCAUACUGAUUAGUUUGGGCGCAUUUUACUAUUUAAUUGGUGGCAUCCAUGUUUCUAAUGUUUUUUAUUUCUUAAUUUUCCCCAAUUUUUGUAUCAAGUGGCUUAGCAAGAUUACUUUGCCAAAUUACAUUUCACAAUUGGAAACAAGAUAAGAAAUCAUCAAUGACUAAAGAUGUCAGGACAAGAAAAUAGAAAUUGGAAUGGUUAUAGUUUACACAUCAGGUAAAGAUUACUGAGUGAUGGGGAAAAUCAUAGGCCAGAUAUGAGUCAUGCAGUCAAUGUGCAGAAAGAAAGGGGAAUUGACUUGCAACUUUUUCUGGAGAAAAACUAAUGGGUGGAUACUAGUUGCAAUGUCAGUACUCGGUAUUAGGUUUCUUACUUAGGAAGAUUUGAAGGUAAUUACAAGUUUCUGUUUAAUUUAUUGGGCUAACUAAGAUGAACAGUUCCAAUGCUAUGAAUAUUUUCUGGGGGUUUGGUAUUUGGCAAUGACAUUUGUAUAUUUGUAAAGAAUGAUUUUAGUGAACCUGUACAUUUAAAUCCUCCUCUAGAAUUUGAGUAGCCUAAAAUAAGUUUGGAAAUCUGACAACUAAUUUUUUAUCUGCCCUUUUCAUACCUACCAACUAAAAAGUAAAAAAAGAAACUAGAGCAUGAUUUUAUUUCCACUUGUACUUGAUGAGAAUUUCAUGUCAACACAGUUAAUGGAUUGAGUGAACAAUUUAGUUAGAAGCUAACUGACAAUGAUAGAGUGGGUCACUUGAGUGAAUAAUACUAACUUUAUUAAUGAACUUAGUAGUUCACUAAGUAAUCCAAAUCCAUGCAUAAAUAAAUAUAUAAACAGUUGAAUUUAAUAGCCUUGUAUGUCUUGUUCAUAAAUCGUGUGCUUGACUAGAAAGGCUCUACCCUGUUUCAGGACUAGAUUGGUAGUUGUUGCCACUCAGAAAUUUGUUGUCAGAGUUUCUGGAGAUGCACUUCAUUUUGUUUUCCUGUAAUUAUUUGUUCUGUUGUGACUUUCUAAUUUCCAUAUUAGGAGCAAGACCUAUUUCUGGACUGCAUUGAAGUUACUUCCUUUUUGGGUGAUGACAGAGAAAAUACAGGAAAAUAUAAUGCAGUGAAAUGUUUUCUUAUUCUGAGAAUUUGUCACUCUUUCUAUCUUACUAGGUUAUUUAUAAUUUGAUUUGUGGAAUAAGGUGCCUUUAUUGUUGAAGGACAACAUUUUUUUGUUUCAGUUGGAAUUGUUGAAUCAGUUGCUCAGAGUUUGUACAUUUAUUUUGUUUGUUUAGUCGAUUGUUAUGGUAAAUUAGGUCUGCAAGUUUGCUUUGCGAGAUAUUAGGACUAUGGUUCUUCUUUA
Molecule: long non-coding RNA, 2035 nt
Organism: Glycine soja
Lineage: Eukaryota; Viridiplantae; Streptophyta; Magnoliopsida; Fabales; Fabaceae
Exons: 6
Source: RefSeq, a predicted model, not a curated record